CCCACCUCCGUGCUCCCUUUCCCCCUCCGCAUCGCUCGAUCCAAAUCCUCCCUCUCCCUCGGUCUCGCCUCUCCUAUCGCGCGAUGUCGCUCGAUCCUCUCUAGGGUUCGCCGCCCGCCGUCGUCCCUCGCCGUCCUGCUCCGCUGUCGCCCCUCCCUCCACCUACCUCGCCCCUGCUCUAGGGUUCGCCUCCCGCCGCCGCCGCCCCCCGCCGCCCUGCUCCGUUGUUGCCCGUCCCUCCGCCUGCCUCGCCCCCUCCCCUACACUCACCCCUGCCCGAUCUGGAUCUGGAUGAGGUGUUGCCUCCCGUUCCUCUCAUCGCGUCCCUUGUGCCAGCCAUGGAAGAGGGGAGGAAGAAGGGGAGGGAGAGCAAAGAGGACCGCGGUGGCGAUGUGCCAACGUUGGCAGGACCAAGAUGUGUGAAUCAAGGAGUCCCUGCAUCUACCCGCGACCCUAGAAUAGCCGCUACCGCUAUGACCUUUCUCCAUGUCGUGAGCUUCGAAGAGUCUGGCGGCGCCAUCACGCCGGCCUCUGUCCAAGAGGUCAUCGCGCUCAACAGGCCCUCACUCCACGGCUCCGCCUGCGGAGGCCGUCGACGCCAUCGCAGGGUGCCGCUUUGAGGCCGGGGUUGAAGCUGCCACCGAGGAGGCCAUCUUGACGCAGAUGUUGCAGGCACUCCUGACGUGCAUGCGCUCCCCUGCGAUUAGUGACCAACACAUCUGCUCUGUCGUGAGCAUGUGCUUCGUGUCAUACAGGUCGCGGCCAAAGGCGAGCUCGUGCAGCGGUUCAGGUGCAUCCCAUAGGGGCAGCUCAAGUUUCUUUCAUAAUUCUAUUUGUUCUGAGUGCAUUGCAUAUUGAAGUAAACUGGAUGGGCUAAUCUUGAGUUCCUCCAUCAAGUUAUAUUACCUCGACAAAAAAAGGUGCAGGAAAACCAUAUAAAGCACUAUGGUGAGUCUAUCUCAAUUGAACUAGAACUCAAAUUGUAGCAAUUCCAAGCUUUUUUCUACAACUGCAAUUGGGUGGACUAUGGUAUGGGUCGGUUUAUUAGUUUGAAGGGAUUUUAAGUGACAACCUGCUACUUUUUCUACUGGUAGUGAAUUCAAAUUAAGUCUGAUGUCUCUAUCUAAUAUACUGAACCUGGAAGAUUUGUCUGAGGCCUCUAUCUAAUAUAUGAAGAAUUGGCUUUCUAUUAUGAACAUCGACCUGAACCUGGAAGAUUUGUCUAAUAUAUCAAGAAUUGUCUUUCUAUUCUCAACAUGGAACUGAACAUGAGAAAUUUACCUUACUGUUAACUGCAGUUUUGUCUCAUUGCCAAUAUAUCUGCAUAAGGUACAUCUAAGGAGGCCUUCUCCGACAAGGAGGCUGCGGGUCGAGGUCGUCGGCAGCGACAAUGCCGCCAGCCGCAAGCACCGCCGCGAGGACGACAAAAGUGAGCACUUUACCCCCGCCAGGUCGAUCGCGUCUUCCCCCUUCUUUGGGCACAAAUUAAACCUGUGCGCAACUCGGAUCUGGAUUUGUGUGAUUUUCAGCUCUGCUUGUUCGUUAGGGAUUUGUGGUUAGGUAAAGGGAGAGCAAGAUAAUGGAGAUAAUUUGAAUAAAUAAAAAAGUUUGGAUUUCGAGCUGUGCGCCUGUACUCUACUAUGUAAUCCAGGCGACUAAUUUGGAUGCAGCACAUCUGUCGCCACAUAUUUGGUUGUAGCAGUAGUGUUCAGCAGACUGCAUCAAUAUACCAUUGCUAAAAAGAUUUACUCCCUCCGUCCCAAAUUAGUUGACUCAGACUUGUCUAGAUAGACAUGUUUUAGUGUUAGAUACAUACGUGCCUAGACAAAUCUAAGACAACUAAUUUGAGACGGACGGAAGUAAUAGAGUAUUUUGUAUGCGAUUGGUCUGCAGAACAGGUGAGCUGCAUACUGGUUAAGGCCAGUUAUGUGUGAUUCGCGUUCCGUGUCUGUAUGUGUGACCCAGGCAGCA
This 1971-nucleotide ribosomal RNA is filed under the name Triticum aestivum (bread wheat). RNAcentral describes it as "partial small subunit ribosomal RNA". The record is from RNAcentral. Lineage: Eukaryota; Viridiplantae; Streptophyta; Magnoliopsida; Poales; Poaceae.